GACGAACGCUGGCGGCGUGCCUAAUACAUGCAAGUAGAACGCUGAAGGAGGAGCUUGCUCUUCUGGAUGAGUUGCGAACGGGUGAGUAACGCGUAGGUAACCUGCCUGGUAGCGGGGGAUAACUAUUGGAAACGAUAGCUAAUACCGCAUAACAGUAGAUGUUGCAUGACAUUUACUUAAAAGGUGCAAUUGCAUCACUACCAGAUGGACCUGCGUUGUAUUAGCUAGUUGGUGGGGUAACGGCUCACCAAGGCGACGAUACAUAGCCGACCUGAGAGGGUGAUCGGCCACACUGGGACUGAGACACGGCCCAGACUCCUACGGGAGGCAGCAGUAGGGAAUCUUCGGCAAUGGACGGAAGUCUGACCGAGCAACGCCGCGUGAGUGAAGAAGGGUUUCGGAUCGUAAAGCUCUGUUGUAAGAGAAGAACGAGCGUGAGAGUGGAAAGUUCACACUGUGACGGUAUCUUACCAGAAAGGGACGGCUAACUACGUG
RNAcentral lists this ribosomal RNA (495 nucleotides) under uncultured bacterium. RNAcentral describes it as "partial 16S ribosomal RNA". It matches the Rfam family "Bacterial small subunit ribosomal RNA", at positions 28 to 507 of the family's 1533-position model. The record is from RNAcentral.